UACGUAGGUGGCAAGCGUUGUCCGGAAUUAUUGGGCGUAAAGCGCGCGCAGGCGGUCCUUUAAGUCUGAUGUGAAAGCCCCCGGCUCAACUGGGGAGGGUCAUUCGAUACUGUUCGACUCGAAGGCAGGAGAGGGAAGUGGAAUUCCCGGUGUAGUGGUGAAAUGCGUAGAUAUCGGGAGGAACACCAUUGGCGAAGGCGACUUCCUGGCCUGUUCUUGACGCUGAGGCGCGAAAGCUAGGGGAGCAAACGGG
Molecule: ribosomal RNA, 253 nt
Filed under: uncultured bacterium
Lineage: Bacteria
Description: partial 16S ribosomal RNA
Rfam family: Bacterial small subunit ribosomal RNA
Source: RNAcentral